CCUACGGGAGGCAGCAGUGGGGAAUAUGGCACAAUGGGGGAAACCCUGAUGCAGCGACGCCGCGGGAGUGAAGAAGGAUUUCGGUAUGUAAAGCUCUAGCAGCAGGGAAGAAAAGGACGGUAACUGAAUAAGAAGCCCCGGCGAACUACGUGCCAGCAGCCGCGGUAAUACGUAGGGGGCAAGCGUUAUCCGGAUUUACUGGGUGGAAAGGGAGCGUAGACGGCAGCACAAGUCUGGAGUGAAAUGCCGGGGCUUAACCCCGGAACUGCUUUGGAAACUGUGCAGCUAUAGUGCAGGAGAGGUCAGUUGAAUUCCUUGUGUAGCGGUGCCAUGC
Molecule: ribosomal RNA, 334 nt
Filed under: uncultured bacterium
Lineage: Bacteria
Description: partial 16S ribosomal RNA
Rfam family: Bacterial small subunit ribosomal RNA
Source: RNAcentral